Molecule: long non-coding RNA, 8286 nt
Organism: Bombus terrestris (buff-tailed bumblebee)
Lineage: Eukaryota; Metazoa; Arthropoda; Insecta; Hymenoptera; Apidae
Exons: 5
Source: RefSeq, a predicted model, not a curated record
AUGGAACCGUCUAACAAAGGCGAAUGGAAAUUUACCGGUACACCGUCGUCCAGCAUAAAUAAACGAAUUGAUCUUAAGGUGACCAGUUUUCAUCAGUCUCAGUCACGCGCGAUCUCUUCAGUGAGUUACACACGGUCUUAGUGAAUUAGAGCCGAGCGUUUUAGAGAACAUUCUUUUAACGACCAGUAUCGUACAAUCUACCGUUUUCUCUGUAUUUAUAAUUGCUUUAAAAUAUAUUUGACGGCUUCAAUAUCGAGUAAUCUCGUCAUUAAACUACCACACGUUUUACAACAUGUUCUCUUAACAAACAUUGUGCGUGCCAUGAUGCAUCGAUGUCCUGACUUUUUAUGUGCAGUGUGUAUUCGACCAUUCGCGGGGAGACGCGAUCGCGAGAAAGCACGUCAACGGGAGUCGUAAAUUCGCGUUACGAUUAGAUAAUCGACGCCACGAACUGAUCGAUCCCCUGAUUUCUGUUACGAUAAUAGAGGUGGUUCAAUUGAGUUUACACUGAAUUAACAGGUAUAUUACAGGUUUAUUCGAAUAACCUUGUAAAGAAGAUAAUUACACUAAUGCGUAUGUAUAAGUUAAGUGAGUGAUUGAUUUAAGAGUAGAAACCCGAUAAUGACAUCUUGACUAUUCUAUCCAUGAAGAAUAAGUGAGGUAAAAGUGACGAUGCUGUGUGUCUAACGCAAGGGACCAUCGGAUUUGUUGAUGACAAUUUUGGUCAGGAAAGUGAGGACAGUAGACAUUGCUAAAAGAGGAUUGCAUAAAAGAGGAUUGGUGGAUUAGGAAGGGUCUUAGCCACCCUCGAUAGAAAGUCGCCAGUGUGAAGUAUCGUACGUGAGAAAAACUCUUUUUCAUGUCUCUCCGUAGUAAAUAAUAAGUUUGAGAAACGAUUCAGUAAAACGAUGUUUGUUCGGUCCGAAGGACCUUAGCUAGAAUAUUCCUGUGAUUUAUUGUAGGUUCUUAAGAGUAUUGAGGGUACGCAGUAAGGAGGUGCGGACAUCUGAUUGCCAUCUUGCCCGCAGUGUGUGGCAGUGUAGUGUUCUAAGAGUGCAUUUAUAAUGGAUUCUCUCUGUUAUGUCUUUAGUGGUACUAGGACCAAGUAUUUUCUCAGUUCGUCAUGCAUUGAGAGUAUAAAUUUAUUUAUUUUCUUAGUUUUUGUCAUAGGUCUCAUAAUGUCCAUAGCAAUUUUGUCGUUAGGUUGUAAUGAGGUGUCAGAUAUUAUUGGUUCUUCUUUUUGUCUAAUCCGCCUUAAUUUCUCUUUUUGACAACCUUCACAUUUCUUUAUAAAUUCUUCGACUUUAUUUAGUAAAUCUGGAAUUUUAUAUCGUUCCUUUAUGCUUUGGUAGGUCUUUUGGAUGCCUAAGUAUCCUAUAGUCCCGUUAUGAUUUUCGCUUAUAAUUUGUUCGAUUUCUUCUUGAGUUAGAGUUUGUAUUGGAUUCCAUGCGAAUGUGAUUGGUUUAUAUGUAUCGUUGAAAUAAAGAAGAAUAAACUUAAUUUGACUCUUUUCUAGUUUGAGAAUGCGAUAUCUCCUAUACUUAUCUUUUUGUUUUUCUGUAUUAUUCCGUGGAGUUUCUUAAGCCAUUUUGCUUCUGAGAAUUCUCCUAAUUCGUCUCGGGUAAAUUGGUAGAAGAAAUUAUUUGCUUCCAUUUCUAGUCUUUCGGGUAUGUCAGUAUUCUGUUUCCAUGUAGUAAAGUGUUGAGAAAAAUCUAGAACUCCUCUAUUUUUCUCAACAGCUUCUCCACUUGUUUUUCGAAUAUCCCUUUUAUUUCCGAUAUCAUUGCCUCGAACCCUUUUUCUAUUUCCUCCACAUUUUCCUCAUUAUUUCCAUUCCUCUCUCCCUGGUUGGAGUCCCCUUUUCUGACCAACUGUAUCUAUCCAGCGUAUUCUUGGGCUCUACUUCAUCUUCCGAUUUGCACACAUUCCAUGCUCUUCCUCUGCUUGCUGCUAUCUAUGUUUCUCUACCUUCCUUUGUUUGCCGCGCGUCUUGUUUCCUAACCUCUUCUCCUCUGCCUUCUCUGAUUUGUUUUUUCCUCUCGUUCCUGGCUUCUUUUCACUUUUCUUUCACUUUCCCCUCGUAUGCUCACCCUUUAUUUUCCUUCUUCGUGUCACUUUUUGUUUCAUUCUGCUUUUUUCCUUCACACUUCGCACUUUUUCUAGAGCUCUCCGUACGUGUUACCCUCGCCCCGCACCAAACCGGAAGUCCCGCUUGUUUCUUUUCUUCUGAUUAAUUCUAAUCACUUCUAACGGCCUUUAAUAAUUUCUAACCGCUUUUAAUCGCUUUUGUCUCUAUCCUUGAGGCGCCCUGCCAAGGCGGCCCGCCUUGAUGGCGGGCGGGAGCGUUCCGUUCUCCCAAUGCCGCGGUUCUCUCUCGCAGGCAUUGUCUCCGCUCCGACCUCGAUGAAUAUAUACAGGUGGUCCGAGAGAGACGCAACUCCUUCGGUUACUCUCCAGCCUGAGACCCACCGGAAGCAUUGGGGGUACCCCAUUUGCAAGGAACAAUGAACAUUAAAGUCUCCCAGGACGAGGACCUGACGUGAAAGGUAUCGUCUCACGCAAUCGCCAACCCGGUCCAGGAACUCCUCAAACGCGACCAAGUCACUGUUCGGAGAGACAUAUAGGGCAUACUCCUUGCCCUGCUCGAGCAAGUUCCCUACGGUGAGUGUGCCCGGUGCUGACGUCCACGUCAUAGCGACUAAGACGUCCAGGUCACUGACCCAGUUAGGAGUGUCUAGUAUACGAUAGGGUUCGACUACCACUGUCAGGGCAACCCUGCUCUCCCUUAUCAUCUGGAAGAGCAGAUCUUGUGCCCGCUUCGAUCGCUCCAAGUUGGUGUGGAGGAGCCGCAUGAAUCUACUUUACCAAAUCCAUAUGCAUGGCCGCCCCCCGGCCAUCUACCGCACUCGUGAUCCUUUCUUUCUCUUGCGGUAGAUCUUCCGCGUUGCCACCCUAUCUCCUGUCCGUAGCAGGCUCCCGAAUCCGGCUCGUCCCUUAAUUUUCGGCGGAACGCAUGCCGCCCCUCCCAUUCUGUAGGUGCCAGACGCACCAAGCGACUCACAGUGCGGGCACCUGGGCACGGAGGCAGGGCAACUCUUGGCCUGAUGACCGAUGCCUCCGCACAUGUAGCAUAGCUGCCCCUGGUCUACCGUAGGUCCGUAGGUCACUAUCGCUUGUCCCAGCUCUAAGAAUCGAUAACAUCCAAAGGGCCUCUUUGGGAGGGCUUUGACCCUAGCCAUUGAUCAGCCCGCAAAAAUACCACUUGACUUAGUUUCCGCGCUGCUGCUGUCGGACACCUUACUCAGGCUGGCCCAAGGCCACCUCUGGAGGUCCUGAUGUCUCCUACUCAAACUUCCAGUGCCUUGCAUCCUCCGGCCCUCGCCAGGGUGUCCCGAAGUUCCUCCUUGCCGACCGAUAUGUCGAUCCUAGUUACUCUCAGCUCCUUCGUUCUUGGUCGGAUGCAGGGCUUGUCAACCGUGCUACAAGCGCGGGUGCCUUCUCCCUUUCUUUAUCCGCGGGAACUUCUAGGAUAAUGCUCUCAGUCAUGGCCUUCCUGAUUUUAACUCUUUGAAAAUCGAGCUUGACUAGCGGGACUUUCUGUUUAGCCGUCGCCAGCACUUCGGCAUAUGAUGUUUUCGUCCCAUUGCUCAGCGUUGCGGUCACCGCAGAUGACCGGGGAGGGGGAGGGGGGAGCGGUGCUGACCAAGGUGGUGACCUUGCUGGUCUCAUGCACCUGUUAUCCUGCUGGGGUUCGUUGCGAGGCCCAAGUCGCCUUCGCAGCACCUAGUCUCUUCCCUUCGUCUUUUUCUUAUGCUCGGCCACCAUCCAUUCACCACCCUCUUGCUGGCUCGAGGGCGACGUUAUUUGGGCGGCAUUACCAGCUACCGUGGUUGCCUCCCUCUACCGUGUUUCUGGACUAUGUCGCCAGUCCUGUAGGCGUUCUUAUAUGGCUCUCAUAAGCUCUUCGAAUUUCCUCUCGAAAGCUAAGAGACGCUCCUUCUCCCCCUAUCAUGCUUUUUGGGGUGUCCCAGCUCUAAAAUGGAAGCGUGACACCGUGCACUCUCCUGAUGGGCGCACGCGCCUUUGGGAGGUAUAUAUAUAAUGUAGAGGUUUAACCGCUUAAGGAUAGUGCGAAAUGAUGGGCGCCCGUCCUCCUCCAGACGUCAUAGGCCACUCCAGGUGCCAUAGGCUAACAACUCUUCUACAUCCAAAUUCGCACUUCCCUGCGAAUUGCCUGCCGUGGUGUUUCUUGCAUCUGAUUCGGCGCUUGGAGCCAUGACCCGAUCCAUGCCUGAAUUCUGUGGUUUAUCCACCCUAUUUGUGAUCUUCAUGGAUUUCCUGGUUACCUUUGAUGCAAGCUCCAUUCCUUCCUUCAGAAACUGCUUUUGACUAGUAGUAUUCUCCUCGCAGAACGCGGGACCUUCAACGUGCAGCAGCCUUACGCUCACGUGCUCUCGGGCCGCGCGUGCCACCAGGCGUACCCGGGUGGGGGGGGGGGGCGCUGCCGGCGCCUGUUUUCCUUACUGUUUUGUCGAUAGAACUGAGUUUUUGCAUGCUUUCCUGCCCCAUCCAGUCCUUUCCUCACUAAUUUUCUUGCGCACUGUGCACUCGCGCACUGGCACAACACUCUGGUCCACUUUUUGUCGCUUUUCUUCCGCUCUUCGCUGUUAUCAAGUCUGCAGGACACGGAGGGACGUAAACGCGUCCUCUCUGCCUGCCGCUAUUUUUUUCUCUCUCAAUAGGUUGAUUCCUGCUCCUGUAUCGAUUAUGUGUGUUACAUGUCCAGUUCUUGUGUUAAACUGUAUUAUGAGAAGUUCGCCUGUUGUAGUGUUAACUCUUGGAAUUUCUCUUGGUCAUCCGUCGUUUCGUUUUAAGUUUCUGUUUUUAUGUUGGUUUGAUUCUUUCGCGCUGGCGGGAGAUUUCGUUGGCUGGGUGAUUGAAUAUUUCGGCAUUGAAGUGCAAUCUUUCCACAUUUGAAGCAUUUAGAUUGCACUAGUGGUGUUUAUUCUGCUUUCAUAAAUGUCUUCGUUUCGUUAGGUUUCAUGAUGUUCCCUGUUGAUGGUGCCGGUUUGUUAUAUCUUAGUAGUUGGUGAAACGGUUCGUAGGUAAUCGACUGGGGCCUCCUCUCCAAUCUCUUUGUUCUUCUCGUAGGUGUCGUUUUAUAUUAGUAGCUUUUUGUUCCAGUUCAUCUAGUAAUGUUGGUUCGCUGCCCAAAAGGAUUCGUCUGAUUUCGUGGCGUAGUCCUUUUAGGUAUAUUCGUCCUACUUUUCUCAUUGUAACAUCAAGCAUGAUACGUCUUGUUAAUGGUUGUGGAUUUUCGUUGGUGAUGGCGUAAGUUAAUUUGUUUAAUACGCGUCUGAAUCGAAUAUUAGAUGAUUCCAUUGUUUCAUCGCGUUCUUUCCUUAUGUCGUGUAGCUUUUCGGUAUACUUAUCUGGGGUUACUUGAGUUGCUACGUUGGCUCUUAAUGCUUCGAAAAGGUCUGCGUAAUUGUCGAUUGGAAUAUUACGAAUACUCUGUGCGGCUUAUCCUAUGAUCUUUUCUACUUUAAUAGGUAUCAGCAAUAAUUCUUUUUGUAAACAUUCAUUUUUUAUUUCUCGAACUUCGUUGAUGAAUUCUUCAAUUUCAAUAUCAUCAUCACCGUUCAAGACUGGAAUAUAUCUUAUCGCGUCUUUAGCAGAUAACAAAGGAUAUUGUGCGCUGGCAUUGUUUUGGAGUUGGUCAGCGUCACUGUCGUUAUCUAUCUCUACUUGUGGUGCAAACGGGGUGUGAGUCGAUCUUUGACGUGCAGGGUUUAGAGUGGUAUCAAUGGUAUCGAAGUCUUCCGUUAUUAUCACUUUACUACCUAGUCCUAGCUUCAUUUCAGCUAUUAUUUUUCCUAAGAACUCUAUUUCUUUAGUUAAUUUAGCGCUUUCUUCGUCGGAUUGUUUUGUUAACACGUUUAUUUGAUGGCAUAAUUCCAUUACUUCUCGCGUACUUUCUUCGCGAUGUGUAUUAACACUAGAACUGCCGGCAUUUAAGACGUAGCUAUUUCUACUAGUUAAAAUGACUGGUCUUUAAAAAAUACAUAAUAGUAGAAUAUGUUACGUCGCGUGAGAUGGUCCGUGCGGCGUCCAUCAUUGUCCGAACAUCAAGGCCUAAGCACCAUAAUACGGACCCUCAACAAACCUGAGGCCCCACCAUAAACCGAGUCCUAUUAGUUUGCAGGAACCUUUAAUCCUGCAAGUAUUUUCAAGUAUUUUUAUAGCUGGUACUGAAAACAGUCCUUAGGUUUAUUGCACGUUUUUACAAAUUAAAAAACGGGUAGUUACCUAACGGAAAAGGUGGAUAUAUGUCUAACGGAAAAGCCGGUUUUUCCCAUGAACAAGGUCACCCCGGAGCCACGUCGGUAGGAGGCUUCCUCCUCCAAUCUUCAUUCAUUAAUGUUGUCUCUAACAGUGGUCAUCGCGGAUCGUUACUCCUACUUUCCUGACGAAAAGUGUGAACAACGAAUCCACGUCCUUAGUUCAAAAGACACACCCACAGCGAGCUUUCCUCUGUAAUCACACAAGAACGAACGAACUUGUUCUCAUCACGACAGAGCAGUCACUUCAUCCCUCUAGACUUGUGCUCUAGGCUACAGAGCAGUCACUUCGUAUCUAUACUUAGUCUAUUCAAUUGCUACUUCUGCCACAUCAAGAAAGUCACCUCCGGCUUAUAUUCAACUGUAAGGAUCUUACUCUACUUCAAAAGAGCAUUGUGGUCAUAUAUCGGGGCCUUAUACGUCAAAGUAUCGUCUCCGACAUUUAUAUCACACGUGAUGGUGUAACUAUUUAGUGUAUUAAGUUAUUGGAAAUAUAAAUUUUAUAACCCUGUUAAUCGCAGUUUUAUAUCACAACAAUCACCUCCAUUAUCCCACAAGAAAUAAGGGGGUCGAUCUAUUCGCGGUGUCCAUUCUUAUAAUCGUAACGGGAAUUUACGACUCCCGUUGACGCUUUUUCUCGCGACCGCGUCUCCCCAAGAAAGAUCGAAAAUACAUGGACCUUCGAGCCAGAUCACGUGCCAUUGAAAAGUGCACUUACCAGUGACCAUAUAGUGUCACGUGAAUAAAAUUCCUUCGAUUUAAUCACCUAACCAAAGGAGCAGCCAUAGGAAAAGAACUUCUCCCUCGCUAAGCAUAUACGCGACCCCACACCGCACAGUAACGAGUAGCAACCGAUUCCCGGACCAACGUCCAGUUCUUCAAGGUAAGAUGUGACAACUUGUCCCAUGAGGCUUCGGGAAACUCCUUCCGCAAUGUAUACAUUCCCACCGAUUGCGGGCAUCCACAUGAUGUAGGCUAAGGUGCUUGUCCAAGUCGCCCAACAUCAUAAAGGAAAGGUGGACAUCCCUUUUCUCGCAAACCGGACAAGCAACGCUGUCUCCCAUUAACGGCACCAUUAUUUUGAAGCUCAAGUCCAGGGACAUAGCCAAGUCAUCAACUAUGGUCCGCUCCGAAGCGGAUGAAUCCGCUACAGCGCUUCCGGGACCGAGAAGCACUGCGUCCGAGGUGUUUCAAUCCCUUUCUUCAUUCCCUAAAAAACCGUUAGAUCGGCAAACCGAUUUAUUAUUUGAAUUAUAACUUCGUCUUGCGCUACUUCGUCGCCAGAGCGUUUAUCCGGGCGGAUGAAAGGAUAAACUUUAUGUGUAGAAGACGUCAUGCUCAGCCCGAAACCCUGGGGCACAUUUUAGGACUGUAUCAACACAAAAAAAGGAGUAAGAAACAAGAGGCAUAACAAGGAAAUGGAGUAGUUCUCAUUCCGAAGCCGUCUAGAGAGAGAGAAAAGAAGGGGAACGGACCACCCAAAUAUAAACAAUAAAAUAUGGACGGUAGAAGAGGUAACCCUCCUGAAGGAGCUUGAUCAAGUUUAUAAUGAUCACAAAUAUCGAAAUCUGGAAAUAAGUAAAGUCCUUACCAGUAAAACAAUAGAACAAAUUAAGAGCAAAAGGAAAAAGUUGAAGGUAAGUAAUGAGGAAGCGAGCACUCAGGACAAGAGACAGAGGGAGGGUGCGAUCCUCUUAACUCAGACAAUGCACUAGCACGGGAAGUGAUUGAUGAUAUAAGCGAAGAAUCGAUUUGUGAAUGGCGGCGUAGUCUGAAGAAUGAAAUAGAAAAAACUUGCGAAGCCUCCCCUCCUACGCGAGGAAUAUAGAAUACAUUGAAGAAAGUGUGGGAUGAAUUUAACGGCAAUAAUGAGAUUUUAGCGGUUAAAAUUAUUGAAUUUAUCGGCAUGUCUCUAUAGGGAGCGUUAAUGAGAAACAACACAAAA